AUUGAACGCUAGCGGGAUGCCUUACACAUGCAAGUCGAACGGAGUGGCGAAAGGGUGAGUAAUGUAUAGGAACGUGCCCAGUAGCGGGGGAUAACUACGCGAAAGCGUAGAUAAUACCGCAUAGUAUUGGAGCGGACGAUAUCGGAUUAGCUAGUUGGUGGGGUAACGGCUCACCAAGGCGACGAUCCGUAGCUGGUUUGAGAGGACGACCAGCCACACUGGGACUGAGACACGGCCCAAACUCCUACGGGAGGCAGCAGUAGGGAAUUUUGGACAAUGGGGGAAAGCCUGAUCCAGCCAUCCCGCGUGGGCGAAGAAGGUCUUCGGGUUGUAAAGCACUUUUGUCAGGAAAGCGGUACCUGCAGAGUAAGCACCGGCUAACUACGUGCCAGCAGCCGCGGUAAUAC
Molecule: ribosomal RNA, 407 nt
Filed under: uncultured bacterium
Lineage: Bacteria
Description: partial 16S ribosomal RNA
Rfam family: Bacterial small subunit ribosomal RNA
Source: RNAcentral